CAUGGCUGAUUGUAUACAGGGCUUGU
Molecule: non-coding RNA, 26 nt
Filed under: Cricetulus griseus (Chinese hamster)
Lineage: Eukaryota; Metazoa; Chordata; Mammalia; Rodentia; Cricetidae
Source: RNAcentral